GAUGGUUUGGGGUCAGCAUGGUAGUGGGAUGGUUUGGGGUCAGCAUGGUGGUGGUAGUGGGAUGGUUUGGGGUCAGGCAUGGUGGUGGUAGUGGGAUGGUUUGGGGUCAGGCAUGGUGGUGGUAGUGGGAUGGUUUGGGGUCAGCAUGGUGGUGGUAGUGGGAUGGUUUGGGGUCAGCAUGGUAGUGGGAUGGUUUGGGGUCAGCAUGGUGGUGGUAGUGGGAUGGUUUGGGGUCAGGCAUGGUGGUGGUAGUGGGAUGGUUUGGGGUCAGCAUGGUGGUGGUAGUGGGAUGGAUUGGGGUCAGCAUGGUAGUGGGAUUGUUUGGCGUCAGGCAUGGUGGUGGUAGUGGGAUGGUUUGGGGUCAGCAUGGUGGUGGUACUGGCAUGGUUUGGGGUCAGGCAUGGUGGUGGUGGUGGGAUUGUUUGGCGUCAGGCAUGGUGGAGGUACUGGCAUGGUUUGGGGUCAGCAUGGUGGUGGGAUGGUUUGGGGUCAGGCAUGGUGGUGGUAGUGGGAUGGUUUGGGGUCAGGCAUGGUGGAGGUAGUGGGAUGGUUUGUGGUGAGCAUGGUAGUGGGAUGGUUUGGGGUCAGCAUGGUGGAGGUAGUGGGAUGGUUUGAGGUCAGCAUGGUGGUGGUAGUGGGAUGGUUUGGGGUCAGCAUGGUGGUGGUAGUGGGGUGGUUUGAGGUCAGCAUGGUGGUGGGAUGGUUUGGGGUCAGCAUGGUAGUGGGACGGUUUGGGGUCAGCAUGGUAGUGGGACGGUUUGGGGUCAGCAUGGUAGUGGGAUGGUUUGGGGAUGCUUGCCUUAAUAGAAGGAACUCUCUCUCUCUCCAUCCUUCUGUCUCCAUUCCUCCCUCCUAUUUCUCCAUCUCCGUAUCUCUCCCUUCCUCUCUCCCUCCAUCUCCUGAGAGAGAAGCAUUAGCCUCCGGUCAAAGAAGAGAAGAUCAAACGAUGUUGUUUGUAUGUUGUGGCAUCCCCG
Molecule: long non-coding RNA, 974 nt
Organism: Oncorhynchus tshawytscha (Chinook salmon)
Lineage: Eukaryota; Metazoa; Chordata; Actinopteri; Salmoniformes; Salmonidae
Source: Ensembl